CAGUAGCCGCGGGAAUACGAAGGGGGCUAGCGUUGCCCGGAAUCUCUGGGCGUAAAGGGUGCGUAGGCGGGUCUUUAAGUCAGAGGUGAAAUCCUGGAGCUCAACUCCAGAACUGCCUUUGAUACUGAGGAUCUUGAGUAUGGGAGAGGUGUGUGGAACUCCGAGUGUAGAGGUGAAAUUCGUAGAUAUUCGGAAGAACACCAGUGGCGAAGGCGACACACUGGCCCAUUACUGACGCUGAGGCUCGAAAGCGUGGGGAGCAAACAGGAUUAGAUACCCCAGUAGUCCCUGUCUCUUAUAA
RNAcentral lists this ribosomal RNA (301 nucleotides) under uncultured bacterium. RNAcentral describes it as "partial 16S ribosomal RNA". It matches the Rfam family "Bacterial small subunit ribosomal RNA", at positions 509 to 809 of the family's 1533-position model. The record is from RNAcentral.